GACGAACGCUGGCGGCGUGCUUAACACAUGCAAGUCGAGCGGUAAGGCCCUUUCGGGGGUACACGAGCGGCGAACGGGUGAGUAACACGUGGGUGACCUGCCCUCAGCUCUGGGAUAAGCCUGGGAAACCGGGUCUAAUACUGGAUAUGACUCCAUGACGCAUGUUGUGGGGUGGAAAGCCUUGUGCGGCUGAGGAUGGGCCCGCGGCCUAUCAGCUUGUUGGUGGGGUGAUGGCCUACCAAGGCGACGACGGGUAGCCGGCCUGAGAGGGCGACCGGCCACACUGGGACUGAGACACGGCCCAGACUCCUACGGGAGGCAGCAGUGGGGAAUCUUGCGCAAUGGGCGAAAGCCUGACGCAGCGACGCCGCGUGAGGAUGACGGCCU
This 387-nucleotide ribosomal RNA is filed under the name uncultured bacterium. Its description in RNAcentral is "bacterial SSU rRNA". It matches the Rfam family "Bacterial small subunit ribosomal RNA", at positions 28 to 417 of the family's 1533-position model. The record is from RNAcentral.